This 383-nucleotide ribosomal RNA is filed under the name uncultured eukaryote. RNAcentral's name for it is "partial 18S ribosomal RNA". It matches the Rfam family "Eukaryotic small subunit ribosomal RNA", at positions 592 to 976 of the family's 1831-position model. The record is from RNAcentral.
CAAUAGCGUAUAUUAAAGUUGUUGCAGUUAAAAAGCUCGUAGUUGGAUUUCUGGUAGGAGUGACCGUUCCGAACUUGAUUGUUCGUGUAUUGUGUUUUCUCCAGCCAUCCUUGUGGAGAACUUUUCUUGCAUUAAUUUGUAGGGAUUGGGACCCGCAUCGUUUACUGUGAAAAAAUUAGAGUGUUUAAAGCAGGCAAUCGCUUGAAUACAUUAGCAUGGAAUAAUAAGAUAGGACUUUGGUACUAUUUUGUUGGUUUGCAUACCAAAUUAAUGAUCAACAGGAACAGUUUGAGGAUAUUCGUAUGAACAUGUCAGAGGUGAAAUUCUUGGAUUUUGAUCAGACGAACUACUGCGAAAGCAUUUAUCAAGGAUGUUUUCACUAA